UGCCUGAAAUUGCUGAAAGGGAAGCGAAUGGAACCAGUGCUUCUUGGCAAGAUUGGUGCGUGCUAAUGUGAUUGCCUGCUUCCUCAGCGCAAGCGUGGCUGUGGGUUUUGAUCAGGACGCGCGUGUUGUUUCUUGCCUUGUGUGUCAUCGUCAGUUCUCAAUCGAGGAAAACGCCAGGGACAUGGUAGUUUGCCCAUGGGUGAGCGAAUGUGCUUGGUUGAACUCAUUUGUGAACUGGUUCUUGCGUGUCUGGUUGCAGUGCUCUGUGUCCCCAUGACUCUUUGGUGGGCUUGCCCUCCUUGGAUGGAGUGGGUGACCAGGACAUCUCCCUGACACAACGACGUUGACUAAAUGGUUCUAUUCGACCCGUCUUGAAACACGGACCAAGGAGUCUAACAUAUGUGCGAGUUCACGGGCGGGUAAACCUGCUUGCGCAAUGAAAGUGACUGCUGGGAUCUUUGCACCAGCAACCGACCAAUCAAUUGAGAGAGGUUUGAGUAUGAGCAUAUCUGUUAGGACCCGAAAGAUGGUGAAC
RNAcentral lists this ribosomal RNA (535 nucleotides) under Heterocapsa niei. RNAcentral's name for it is "LSU rRNA". It matches the Rfam family "Eukaryotic large subunit ribosomal RNA", at positions 396 to 831 of the family's 3401-position model. Lineage: Eukaryota; Dinophyceae; Peridiniales; Heterocapsaceae. The record is from RNAcentral.